GUCUUUUUUAAAAAGAGAUUUUUAUCACCUGAAUAAUCCUGAUUAUAAUUGCUGUACCUAUACAUCUUUGUGUUAGGGAAAGAAACUAAAAAUAUUGUAUUCAUAGAAAAAUAUGUUCAGUAAAUUAGUGAUAGGUAAAUAUCACUAAUUUUAUAUAUCCUUUAUAUGUACCUUUGUAACCCAAGGGUAAUUUUUAAAGGAACAGCACUAAUGUGAAUAUAUAAUUUGUUAACUUGUUAAGAGAUAACCUAUCACAUUAUCCUAUAUCAACCAAUACCAGUACCAGUUUGUGUUGUGUAGCAGGUGAAGACGUCUUG
Molecule: long non-coding RNA, 317 nt
Organism: Phyllostomus discolor (pale spear-nosed bat)
Lineage: Eukaryota; Metazoa; Chordata; Mammalia; Chiroptera; Phyllostomidae
Exons: 2
Source: RefSeq, a predicted model, not a curated record